RNAcentral lists this ribosomal RNA (191 nucleotides) under Escherichia coli. RNAcentral's name for it is "partial 23S ribosomal RNA". It matches the Rfam family "Bacterial large subunit ribosomal RNA", at positions 2740 to 2925 of the family's 2925-position model. RNAcentral also lists the same sequence under 6 other names. Lineage: Bacteria; Pseudomonadati; Pseudomonadota; Gammaproteobacteria; Enterobacterales; Enterobacteriaceae. The record is from RNAcentral.
GCCCGGUAGCUAAAUGCGGAAGAGAUAAGUGCUGAAAGCAUCUAAGCACGAAACUUGCCCCGAGAUGAGUUCUCCCUGAGACUUAGAGUCUCCUGAAGGAACGUUGAAGACGACGACGUUGAUAGGCCGGGUGUGUAAGCGCAGCGAUGCGUUGAGCUAACCGGUACUAAUGAACCGUGAGGCUUAACCUU